AGGGAAGAGCCCAAGAUUGAAAGCUGGCGUCUUCGGCGUCCGCAUUGUAAUCUCAAGAAGUGUUUUCCGCUUCGGACCAAGCCUAAGUCCCUUGGAAAAGGGCAUCAUAGAGGGUGAUAAUCCCGUACAUGGCUUGGAGCGCCCGAAGCUUUGUGAUACGCUUUCUAA
This 168-nucleotide ribosomal RNA is filed under the name Ustilaginaceae sp. RNAcentral's name for it is "partial large subunit ribosomal RNA". It matches the Rfam family "Eukaryotic large subunit ribosomal RNA", at positions 99 to 261 of the family's 3401-position model. Lineage: Eukaryota; Fungi; Basidiomycota; Ustilaginomycetes; Ustilaginales; Ustilaginaceae. The record is from RNAcentral.